UCCUUUUAGACCGGUCUCAGGUCGGUAUUGGAUUGGGUCUAUUCUUUUUUCGGAUCGGUUUUGAAUUGUCUCAAACCAAUCCAAUCUAUUUUUUUAGGCAUGAUAACAGUUUAUAUUGAUCCGAUAUUGGUAUUAUUUCGAGAUCGGUCGGUUUUUUGUUCGUGUCCUCGAUUUUAAGUAGUGAGGUUUUACUUUGUGGGUUAGAUAAAUUCUUUAUACCAGUUGAUGGUGCCCUUAAAACUCUCCCAUCUUUCAAUCUCAGCCGUAAUAACUCAAGAAUUACGGCUAAUCGACCAACGGUUUUCAGCUCCUCCCCGCAUUUCUCACAGUCGAUCGUUUCUCCUCCUAUGUUCAAUCGGUUUUCAGGUUCCUUCCAAGACAUGGUAGUUCUCCUUCAAUCAUCACGAUACGGAACCUUCUUAGUCGGUAACUGCCCAAACCACGACCUAGAAAUCGGGCUUAUAUAAAUAUAUAAUGAUCCGUCUAUGUUUAAUGGUUCUAUGUUUCAAUCAAUGUAUUGAAUUGCUUCAUUUGAUGUUAACAAUUAUGGAUUCAAGUUCAGCUAAAAAUAGUUCACCUAAGGUAAAUUUAUCGACUUCUACUUAAUUUUUCAAUGUUUCAAUGAGUUUCAUCAAUUGAUUCCUUUUGUGAACAAUUAUCGAUAUACAAUUUCGUCUCAAAUAGUCUUCAACUAAGGUAAAAUCUUUACAAUUAGUUAAUUUUAUGUUUUACAUUCGUAGUUUUUUACCAUCCGACUUCGAUUUGUACUUCAUUUCAUCUUCAAUUUCGUUGUAUAAUCGACUUUAAUGUUCAUUUAUGUUUGUAUAAUCGACAAUCUUAUUGCUUUGAUCUGUAUCGUACUCAAUUUCAGGUUUCUUAAAUUCUUAAUGUAUACCGAUUAAAUUGGUUUGUUUGGGCUCUUUGGCUUUCAAUAAGGUUAACCCUCCCUUUCUUUGUCCCGAUUCCAAUUUAUGUAAAUGUUUGGGCUAUCUAAGAUGAUUAUGCUAAUUUCUUUUUUAUUACUUUAUUAUAAAUAAAUAAUUUAUUGCAUGAUACAGAGUGAUAAAUUUUUUUUGGAACUGCAGUUCCAAAUUUACUGCUUCAGCACAAUCCUUUAGCUAAUAAUCACCACCCUGUAAUGUAUAGUGAAGCAUUUGGUUUACAUUUUUGCAGGACCUGAUUAUUUAACAACUAGCAGAAGGAUAAUCUGCAAACCACAGGAAGAGGUUUGAUGUCUAAGAAUGAUGAUACUGAAGAUUUGAUGCUUGAACAUGAAUUAUAUUUAAUCACUCUACAAUCCCGUCUUAUAAAACUCCACAUACCUCAAAAUUGUCUCAAAAUUACAACUGUUCAAUAUUUUUCUUAUUCUUGUCAAUAUUUUCCAGUAAUCAAAUGAACCUAGCAUUUAAUUAUCUUUAUUCAACCUCCUGAAACUUUAUAUGUUUUGUUCGCUAAUAUCCAUUUUCAACAAUUUCAUUUCUUUAAGCAUUUAAAUUUAUAAAGUUGAAGUCCCAUAGAUUGGGCACAACUUUUUCCUAACCCGAUAUGUUGCUCCAAUUAGUACUUUGUGAUGUUUCAAAUGAAAAUUUUCAAUGAUGGGGACUUCAUGGAAAGUAAAAGAAAAUAAAAAAGGUCAAUAAUAUCUUUUUUGUUUUAUUUGCGAUUGGAUUUACCGGCUUGUAGGACAUUUUUGGGAAUGAAAUCUUAUUUUCUAUAUUUUUUAUACUUUUUGCAGGUUUUGAUCUAGAUCGUGUGUGUUGAGCUGACAAAAAUCGACCCAACCCGCCAACCCAACCUAAAAUUAGCGGGUUGGGUUGAAAUUUUCAACCCAUUUAACUUAAAUGGGUCAACCGUCUAACCCAUUUAAUUAAAUAGAUUGGGUUGGAUAUAAAUUAUCAACUCGUUUUCAACCCGUCAAUNUCAACCCAUUUAACUUAUAUAUAUAUAUAUAUAUAUAUAUAUAUAAUUUAAUAUUAUUUGAAUAUUAUCAUGUAUUAAUCAAAGUAUUAAUUUGUAAAUUAUAAUGUUGCAUUAUUAUUAUCUGUGUUUAAUAAAAUUCAAUCCUAAUUUCCAUCUUUUUUUUAACGCCGAUAAUACCGGUCACUCUCCAAAAUCACUGUGAAACUAAACAUUUUUAAUGUUAUUUGCACAAUUUAUUUGUAUUUAUGAAUUAGGAUUGUGCUUUUGUCGUAAUUAUGAAGUUUUAUUUACGUUUUAUAAUUUAAGUGGUAUAAUAUUUAAUUAUAUAAUUUAUUUAAUUGAUUUUAAAUGGGUUAACCCAAGUUUAACCCAUUUAUUUAAUAGGUUGGGUUGGGAACUACAUAAAAAAGUUAACCCAAUGACAACCCAUUUAUCUAAAAGGUUGCUUUGGGUUGGAAAUAUCAACCCAAAUAAACAGAUUCGGUUGGGUUGAAAUUUCCAACCCAAUUAUUAAAUGGGUUAAACACGAACUCAAACCAGGUCGACCCAUUGCAACCUUUAUGUGUGUGCAUUUCCUCCAGAGCAUCCUUUAUCCACAUCCAGACCUCUUCGUGAUUCUCUUGGACAUACUCCAUUAUAGGUUUCUCUUCCAUCUAACUCAUAUCAAGACUAAUUAUAAGAAAUAGCAACCUACUUUCUUAAUUUCUUUGUUAUUGCAUCCUAUUUCGUUUCUUCCUAUUAUAACAUUCUUCUUUUAAAGGAGUCAACAAUGGAUGACAUGAAAAAGAUUAACCAUGUAAUCAUGACUUGGCAUCCAUAUCAACAAAGUAACAAAAAUAUGCUAAUGGGUUAACUAUUACUAUAAGUGGGUUAAAUUUCAAUGUACAAUGUUGUAUUAAAAAGAAAUAAAAGUAUGUUGAUAUUUCUUGCAUUGUAACAUUUUUUAAUGGAAAAAGGCUUUUAAUUCAAUAAUGAUGAAUUGGUUCAACUUGAAACAUGUGGUUGUUGGGGCGGUGUUAGGAGGCAUGGUGGCAUUCGAUCAUCUCACAAAACCUAUAAGUAUUAUCCUUAUCUUCCUUUGAUUUGGGAUAACGAUUUGAAGCGGCUUGGAGUAGUGGUUAUAUGCUAGGGUGUUCGUUUGAUGGAUCGGUUUGAUCCGAUCCAAUCAGGUGAAUCCAAAUUAAUUUCAGUUUUGAAAACGUGAAUCCGAAUAGUCCAAAUUAAAUUCAAAUCCGAUCCGCACCAUUCAAAUUAGAAUUUGGUUGGAUCGGUUUUUACAAUUCGGUUUUCAAUAAGCGAGACAUUUAAAAAAAUAUAUAACAUAAUAUUAAUCAACUUUAGAAUAAAUUGUUUGGUGAGAAUUAAAAUUAUGAACAAC
Molecule: long non-coding RNA, 3298 nt
Filed under: Lactuca sativa (garden lettuce)
Lineage: Eukaryota; Viridiplantae; Streptophyta; Magnoliopsida; Asterales; Asteraceae
Description: long non-coding RNA (LSAT_LNC003279)
Source: RNAcentral